AGAGUUUGAUCAUGGCUCAGAACGAACGCUGGCGGCAGGCUUAAUACAUGCAAGUCGAACGGGCGUAGCAAUACGUCAGUGGCAGACGGGUGAGUAACGCGUGGGAACGUACCCCUCGGUUCGGAAUAACUCAGGGAAACUUGAGCUAAUACCGGAUACGGCUGAGAGGCGAAAGAUUUAUCGCCGAGGGAUCGGCCCGCGUCCGAUUAGCUAGUUGGUGAGGUAAUGGCUCACCAAGGCGACGAUCGGUAGCUGGUCUGAGAGGAUGAUCAGCCACAUUGGGACUGAGACACGGCCCAAACUCCUACGGGAGGCAGCAGUAGGGAAUAUUGGACAAUGGGCGAAAGCCUGAUCCAGCCAUGCCGCGUGAGUGAUGAAGGCCUUAGGGUUGUAAAGCUCUUUCGUCAGGGACGAUAAUGACGGUACCUGAAGAAGAAGCCCCGGCUAACUUCGUGCCAGCAGCCGCGGUAAUACGAAGGGGGCUAGCGUUGUUCGGAAUCACUGGGCGUAAAGCGCAUGUAGGCGGGUCUUUAAGUCGGGGGUGAAAUGCCAAGGCUCAACCUUGGAACUGCCUUUGAUACUGGAGACCUUGAGUCCGGGAGAGGUGAGUGGAACUGCGAGUGUAGAGGUGAAAUUCGUAGAUAUUCGCAAGAACACCAGUGGCGAAGGCGGCUCACUGGCCCGGUACUGACGCUGAGAUGCGAAAGCGUGGGGAGCAAACAGGAUUAGAUACCCCUGUAGUCC
Molecule: ribosomal RNA, 744 nt
Filed under: uncultured bacterium
Lineage: Bacteria
Description: bacterial SSU rRNA
Rfam family: Bacterial small subunit ribosomal RNA
Source: RNAcentral